UAGGACGGUUGGCGCAGCUGAUCAGCCUGCCGCGUGAGUGAGAAGCCUUCGGGUUGUAAAGCUCUUUUGUUGGGGAAGAUAAUGACCGGGUUAAUACCCGGAGGCCCUGACGGUACCUUGACAGUAAGCACCGGCUUACUUCGUGCCAGCAGCCGCGAUAAUA
Molecule: ribosomal RNA, 163 nt
Filed under: uncultured bacterium
Lineage: Bacteria
Description: partial 16S ribosomal RNA
Rfam family: Bacterial small subunit ribosomal RNA
Source: RNAcentral